GGGGUUCGGCAGCGUUUUGGGGGAGAAAGGCUGCUCCCUGUGCUGGAAAACAAAAUACCCACGUUUCCUAAUUGCUUCCACUGAUAAAUGCUGAGAAAUUCUCCCUUCCCGAUGCCUGGGUAGGGAACAGGCUAAAAAAAAAAACCCUCCUGGGUGGCUCCUGGUGGGUGAGGGCUGCAGGAGGGGUGCAUGUGGCCAAAACGCUGCCCGGGGUUUAGCUGGGAGCAUCCCCGGGGCCAGGGCUGAGCAACCCCUCCCCGAGGCUGCUCCUUUGGGUGCUGCCAGCCCCGGGGGUGUCGCAGCAAAGUGCCCAUGUUAGGAAGCGUGGCCCGAAAUAGCGGUGGCUGCUGGGGGCGGGGGGCUCGGCCGCGUGUCCUGCUGGGGAGCCCGUGAGCCGGGUGGCGAGGAGUGGCCGUGAAUAAUGCACAUUCCUCCCCGAUGACAAAGCAGCCCGGUUCUCUGCUGCAUACCACCACGGGGCGGUUUCUACAAAGCUGUGCGCUGUGAACCCUGCGUGGGGUCCGUCCAGGUUUCCCUGGGGUCUCCGUCACCCCUGAUUUUCCCCCUGUCCCCUCCCCAGGCUCCCCCACACUCCCUCUCCCCAUCCCACGUUCUUUGAACUCGGCACGUGAGCCCUGCUGCUGUGGGCUGGGAUCACGGUGGGUGCUGAGGGUGCUGUGGGUGCUUGGGUUUUGCCCGGGGGGUGUUUGCAGCCUUAUCUCCAGGGCUGUCAAGGUUUCCUCCCUCCCUGCUUCCCAUCUGCGUGGCUUUGUUCUGUGCGUACCGCAAGCGCCAGGAAUCUGGGCUUGAUAAAGUUUGUUGCAGCUCGUGGGAGGCAAUCCUAAAAACUUUCAGACUUACUUUGUGUUAUAAAAAAAAAAAAAAAAAAAAAAACCAACGCACAAAACAGCCAUGCUGUUUUAUUUCUGUGCUCCAAAGCCCAGCCCGGCUGGUACAGCAGGAGCAGGGAGGUGCGUCCUGGGGUCCCAGCACGAUUCCCCUGCAGCACGUGUAUGGGAUGGCAGGGCAGGAUGCUCCUUGUGCCUCUCCGUGCCCUGGACCCAGCCCAAAGCCUGCCUCCUGCCCUCCUAGGGCUAUUUUUGGUGCUCGAGGGCCCGAGGGAGGAAAUGACUUCGAUGGCAGCCCUGUGGGCAUGGGGAGCAGAGCAGCCUCCACGACUCGUGUGCGUGCUCGCAGCCGCUGCUGCGGGACGCCAGCCCCGGUGGGUGCAUGGCUCUGCCUGGGGGCUCCUCGCUGUCCCCCACUUUACAGGGAGAUGCUGGAGAUUUGCAGCCCAAAACCCCGACAAGAAGGAAGCAGGAGGAAGAUCCGGACUCAGAAAGUGAGAAGUUGGUGGUGA
This 1360-nucleotide long non-coding RNA is filed under the name Anas zonorhyncha (Eastern spot-billed duck). RNAcentral describes it as "lncRNA (ENSAZOG00000018799.1)". The record is from RNAcentral. Lineage: Eukaryota; Metazoa; Chordata; Aves; Anseriformes; Anatidae.